CCACCGCUGAAGGGACAGUGAUCAUCACCAACACACAUCGGUGAAGACGAUUUUCAGGUGUUAGCAAGAGCAGCUGACAUCAAAAGAACACUACUGCUUCCUGACUCUCCGAGACUAAUUGUCUUAGGUGAAGUGCUCACAGCAACUCAAUGGAUGCUGAGCAUUGAGGGUCAGGUGGUUGUGCCUCCACAUCCCAACUUUGUGGCUGGAAUGGCAGCAUUCUUUUCAAGCUAUUACAACUUGAAUCUGGUGUACAAGGAGCAAGCAGUCGGGAAAUCUCCAACCAGAGUACCUGCUGCCUGAGGCUAUGUUGAUGCAAUUA
Molecule: long non-coding RNA, 322 nt
Organism: Dicentrarchus labrax (European seabass)
Lineage: Eukaryota; Metazoa; Chordata; Actinopteri; Moronidae
Exons: 3
Source: RefSeq, a predicted model, not a curated record